RNAcentral lists this ribosomal RNA (468 nucleotides) under uncultured bacterium. Its description in RNAcentral is "partial 16S ribosomal RNA". It matches the Rfam family "Bacterial small subunit ribosomal RNA", at positions 28 to 507 of the family's 1533-position model. The record is from RNAcentral.
GACGAACGCUGGCGGCGUGCUUAACACAUGCAAGUCGAACGGAAAGGCCCUGCUUUUGUGGGGUGCUCGAGUGGCGAACGGGUGAGUAACACGUGAGUAACCUGCCCUUGACUUUGGGAUAACUUCAGGAAACUGGGGCUAAUACCGGAUAGGAACUCCUGCUGCAUGGUGGGGGUUGGAAAGUUUCGGCGGUUGGGGAUGGACUCGCGGCUUAUCAGCUUGUUGGUGGGGUAGUGGCUUACCAAGGCUUUGACGGGUAGCCGGCCUGAGAGGGUGACCGGCCACAUUGGGACUGAGAUACGGCCCAGACUCCUACGGGAGGCAGCAGUGGGGAAUAUUGCACAAUGGGCGGAAGCCUGAUGCAGCAACGCCGCGUGCGGGAUGACGGCCUUCGGGUUGUAAACCGCUUUCGCCUGUGACGAAGCGUGAAUGACGGUAAUGGGUAAAGAAGCACCGGCUAACUACGUG